This 232-nucleotide ribosomal RNA is filed under the name uncultured bacterium. Its description in RNAcentral is "partial 16S ribosomal RNA". It matches the Rfam family "Bacterial small subunit ribosomal RNA", at positions 118 to 350 of the family's 1533-position model. The record is from RNAcentral.
UGGGCAACCUGCCCCUAGCUCUGGGAUAACUGCGGGAAAUUGUAGCUAAUACCGGAUGUGACACGAGACUGCAUGGUCUUCGUGUGGAAAGAUUUAUCGGCUAGGGAUAGGCCCGCGGUCUAUCAGCUUGUUGGUGGGGUAAUGGCUCACCAAGGCGACGACGGAUAACCGGCCUGAGAGGGCGACCGGUCACACUGGGACUGAGACACGGCCCAGACUCCUACGGGAGGNA